UUUCUGGUAGCUCAAUUGGUUAGAGCGAUUAGCUGUUAACUAAUUGGUUAUAGGUUCGAGUCCUAUCUAGAAAG
Molecule: transfer RNA, 74 nt
Filed under: Batrachospermum sp.
Lineage: Eukaryota; Rhodophyta; Florideophyceae; Batrachospermales; Batrachospermaceae
Description: tRNA-Asn
Rfam family: tRNA
About the family: Transfer RNA (tRNA) molecules are approximately 80 nucleotides in length.
Source: RNAcentral